AGAGUUUGAUCAUGGCUCAGAUUGAACGCUGGCGGCAGGCCUAACACAUGCAAGUCGAACGGUAACAGGAAGAAGCUUGCUUCUUUGCUGACGAGUGGCGGACGGGUGAGUAAUGUCUGGGAAACUGCCUGAUGGAGGGGGAUAACUACUGGAAACGGUAGCUAAUACCGCAUAACGUCGCAAGACCAAAGAGGGGGACCUUCGGGCCUCUUGCCAUCGGAUGUGCCCAGAUGGGAUUAGCUUGUUGGUGGGGUAACGGCUCACCAAGGCGACGAUCCCUAGCUGGUCUGAGAGGAUGACCAGCCACACUGGAACUGAGACACGGUCCAGACUCCUACGGGAGGCAGCAGUGGGGAAUAUUGCACAAUGGGCGCAAGCCUGAUGCAGCCAUGCCGCGUGUAUGAAGAAGGCCUUCGGGUUGUAAAGUACUUUCAGCGGGGAGGAAGGGAGUAAAGUUAAUACCUUUGCUCAUUGACGUUACCCGCAGAAGAAGCACCGGCUAACUCCGUGCCAGCAGCCGCGGUAAUACGGAGGGUGCAAGCGUUAAUCGGAAUUACUGGGCGUAAAGCGCACGCAGGCGGUUUGUUAAGUCAGAUGUGAAAUCCCCGGGCUCAACCUGGGAACUGCAUCUGAUACUGGCAAGCUUGAGUCUCGUAGAGGGGGGUAGAAUUCCAGGUGUAGCGGUGAAAUGCGUAGAGAUCUGGAGGAAUACCGGUGGCGAAGGCGGCCCCCUGGACGAAGACUGACGCUCAGGUGCGAAAGCGUGGGGAGCAAACAGGAUUAGAUACCCUGGUAGUCCACGCCGUAAACGAUGUCGACUUGGAGGUUGUGCCCUUGAGGCGUGGCUUCCGGAGCUAACGCGUUAAGUCGACCGCCUGGGGAGUACGGCCGCAAGGUUAAAACUCAAAUGAAUUGACGGGGGCCCGCACAAGCGGUGGAGCAUGUGGUUUAAUUCGAUGCAACGCGAAGAACCUUACCUGGUCUUGACAUCCACGGAAGUUUUCAGAGAUGAGAAUGUGCCUUCGGGAACUGUGAGACAGGUGCUGCAUGGCUGUCGUCAGCUCGUGUUGUGAAAUGUUGGGUUAAGUCCCGCAACGAGCGCAACCCUUAUCCUUUGUUGCCAGCGGUCCGGCCGGGAACUCAAAGGAGACUGCCAGUGAUAAACUGGAGGAAGGUGGGGAUGACGUCAAGUCAUCAUGGCCCUUACGACCAGGGCUACACACGUGCUACAAUGGCGCAUACAAAGAGAAGCGACCUCGCGAGAGCAAGCGGACCUCAUAAAGUGCGUCGUAGUCCGGAUUGGAGUCUGCAACUCGACUCCAUGAAGUCGGAAUCGCUAGUAAUCGUGGAUCAGAAUGCCACGGUGAAUACGUUCCCGGGCCUUGUACACACCGCCCGUCACACCAUGGGAGUGGGUUGCAAAAGAAGUAGGUAGCUUAACCUUCGGGAGGGCGCUUACCACUUUGUGAUUCAUGACUGGGGUGAAGUCGUAACAAGGUAACCGUAGGGGAACCUGCGGUUG
RNAcentral lists this ribosomal RNA (1522 nucleotides) under Escherichia coli. RNAcentral's name for it is "bacterial SSU rRNA". It matches the Rfam family "Bacterial small subunit ribosomal RNA". The record is from RNAcentral. Lineage: Bacteria; Pseudomonadati; Pseudomonadota; Gammaproteobacteria; Enterobacterales; Enterobacteriaceae.